UACGUAGGGUGCAAGCGUUGUCCGGAAUUAUUGGGCGUAAAGAGCUCGUAGGCGGCUUGUCGCGUCGGCUGUGAAAACCUGGGGCUCAACCCCGGGCCUGCAGCCGAUACGGGCAAGCUAGAAUUCGGUAGGGGAGACUGGAAUUCCUGGUGUAGCGGUGAAAUGCGCAGAUAUCAGGAAGAACACCCGUGGCGAAAGCGGCUCUCUGGAACGGUACUGACGCUGAGACGCGAAAGCGUGGGGGGCGAACAGG
RNAcentral lists this ribosomal RNA (253 nucleotides) under uncultured bacterium. RNAcentral's name for it is "partial 16S ribosomal RNA". It matches the Rfam family "Bacterial small subunit ribosomal RNA", at positions 524 to 776 of the family's 1533-position model. The record is from RNAcentral.